CCAGACUUGACAUCCUUGGAAGGCUUCCGAAAGGAAACUGUGCCUUCGGGAACCAAGUGACAGGUGUUGCAUGGCCGUCGUCAGCUCGUGUCGUGAGAUGUUAGGUUAAGUCCUUCAACGAGCGCAACCCUUAUAGUUAGUUGUAUUUUUCUAGCUAGACUGCCCUGGCAACAGGGAGGAAGGAGGGGAUGAUGUCAGGUCAGUAUUACCCUUACGUCUGGGGCUACAAACACGCUACAAUGGCCGGUACAAAGGGCAGCCAAGUCGCGAGACGGAGCAAAUCCCAUCAAAGCCGGUCCCAGUUCGGAUAGCAGGCUGAAACUCGCCUGCUUGAAGUUGGAAUCGCUAGUAACGGUGAGUCAGCACAUCACCGUGAAUA
Molecule: ribosomal RNA, 379 nt
Filed under: uncultured bacterium
Lineage: Bacteria
Description: bacterial SSU rRNA
Rfam family: Bacterial small subunit ribosomal RNA
Source: RNAcentral